UUGGGAAUCGUACGCAAUGGACGAAAGUCUGACGUCGUGACGCCGCGUGGAGGAUUAAGGCCCUCGGGUUGUAAACUCCUUUUCUACAGGAAGAUUAUGACUGUACUGUAGGAAUAAGGACCUGCUAACUACGUGCCAGCAGCAGCGGUAAUACGUAGGGUCCAAGCGUUAUCCGGAAUUAUUGGGCGUAAAGAGCGCGUAGGUGGUUUGGUAAGUUCUACCUUAAAUAUCGAGGCCCAACCUCGAACUUGGGUAGAAAACUGCCUUACUUGAGUAUUGCAGGGGCGAGUGGAAUAUACGGUGUAGGAGUAAAAUCCAUUGAUAUCGUAUAGAACACCAAUGGCGAAGGCAGCUCGCUAGGCAAUUACUGACACUGAGGCGCGAAAGCGUGGGUAGCGAACGGG
This 404-nucleotide ribosomal RNA is filed under the name uncultured bacterium. Its description in RNAcentral is "bacterial SSU rRNA". It matches the Rfam family "Bacterial small subunit ribosomal RNA", at positions 355 to 776 of the family's 1533-position model. The record is from RNAcentral.